RNAcentral lists this ribosomal RNA (395 nucleotides) under uncultured bacterium. RNAcentral's name for it is "partial 16S ribosomal RNA". It matches the Rfam family "Bacterial small subunit ribosomal RNA", at positions 523 to 918 of the family's 1533-position model. The record is from RNAcentral.
AUACGUAGGGUGCAAGCGUUAAUCGGAAUUACUGGGCGUAAAGCGUGCGCAGGCGGUUUUGUAAGACAGUGGUGAAAUCCCCGGGCUCAACCUGGGAACUGCCCAUGUGACUGCAAGGCUGGAGUGCGGCAGAGGGGGAUGGAAUUCCGCGUGUAGCAGUGAAAUGCGUAGAUAUGCGGAGGAACACCGAUGGCGAAGGCAAUCCCCUGGGCCUGCACUGACGCUCAUGCACGAAAGCGUGGGGAGCAAACAGGAUUAGAUACCCUGGUAGUCCACGCCCUAAACGAUGUCAACUGGUUGUUGGGGAUUUAUUUUCUCAGUAACGAAGCUAACGCGUGAAGUUGACCGCCUGGGGAGUACGGCCGCAAGGUUAAAACUCAAAUGAAUUGACGGGG